CAGUCGUGAGGAAGGUAGUGUAGUUAAUAGCUGCAUUAUUUGACGUUAGCGACAGAAGAAGCACCGGCUAACUCCGUGCCAGCAGCCGCGGUAAUACGGAGGGUGCGAGCGUUAAUCGGAAUUACUGGGCGUAAAGACGCAUGCAGGUGGUUUGUUAAGUCAGAUGUGAAAGACCCGGGGCGUCAACCUACGGAAUAGCAUUUAGUAAACUGGCAGACUAGAGUACUGUAGAGGGGGGUAGGAAUUUCAGGUGUAGCGGUGAAAUGCGUAGAGAUCUGAAGGAAUACCGGUGGCGAAGGCGGCCCCCUGGACAGAUACUGACACUCAGAUGCGAAAGCGUGGGGAGCAAACAGGAUUAGAUACCCUGGUAG
Molecule: ribosomal RNA, 371 nt
Filed under: uncultured bacterium
Lineage: Bacteria
Description: bacterial SSU rRNA
Rfam family: Bacterial small subunit ribosomal RNA
Source: RNAcentral